RNAcentral lists this ribosomal RNA (455 nucleotides) under uncultured organism. RNAcentral's name for it is "partial 16S ribosomal RNA". It matches the Rfam family "Bacterial small subunit ribosomal RNA", at positions 330 to 801 of the family's 1533-position model. The record is from RNAcentral.
CGUACACUCCUACGGGAGGCAGCAGUGGGGAAUAUUGGACAAUGGGCGCAAGCCUGAUCCAGCCAUGCCGCGUGAGUGAUGAAGGCCCUAGGGUUGUAAAGCUCUUUCACCGGUGAAGAUAAUGACGGUAACCGGAGAAGAAGCCCCGGCUAACUUCGUGCCAGCAGCCGCGGUAAUACGAAGGGGGCUAGCGUUGUUCGGAUUUACUGGGCGUAAAGCGCACGUAGGCGGACUAUUAAGUCAGGGGUGAAAUCCCGGGGCUCAACCCCGGAACUGCCUUUGAUACUGGUAGUCUUGAGUUCGAGAGAGGUGAGUGGAAUUCCGAGUGUAGAGGUGAAAUUCGUAGAUAUUCGGAGGAACACCAGUGGCGAAGGCGGCUCACUGGCUCGAUACUGACGCUGAGGUGCGAAAGCGUGGGGAGCAAACAGGAUUAGAUACCCGGGUAGUCCCAUGAU